GAUGAACGACUGUGUAGGUCGGCGUUCUAACGGCUAAACGCUGGCUUGUCUACUAUCGGUGGAGGCUCUAGCACUGGUUUGUUGUGUGCAUUAGAAAGGAUUAACAGUGUUCUUUUGAAAAGGGUUUUGGUCACGCGGGGGUGACGAGUUGAAUUGAUGUGUUUGGGUUUGAUUGGUCUCGAUCGCGCGGGGGCGAGAAGUUAGGUUUGAUUUGUUUGAGAUGUUUUUGAAGAACGGA
RNAcentral lists this long non-coding RNA (238 nucleotides) under Lathyrus oleraceus (garden pea). Its description in RNAcentral is "Pisum sativum (pea) long non-coding RNA (PSAT_LNC004968)". Lineage: Eukaryota; Viridiplantae; Streptophyta; Magnoliopsida; Fabales; Fabaceae. The record is from RNAcentral.